Molecule: non-coding RNA, 818 nt
Organism: Caretta caretta (loggerhead turtle)
Lineage: Eukaryota; Metazoa; Chordata; Testudines; Cheloniidae
Source: RefSeq, a predicted model, not a curated record
CUCCCACCGCGUCCACCCGGGCUCCAGCAGGACUUGCUGAGAUGAGGUCAACGCCGCGAGAGGCGGCGGAGCGGCCGAGCGAGCGAGCGAGGGAGGGUGGCAGGGCCAGCCAGGAGAGCGCAAGGGGACGCGGGGGACGAGGUGGCGCCUGCCGGAGCCCCAGCCCCAGCCCCAGCCCUGCAUGGCGGGGCAUUUGCCCGGAGGGCUGAGGGAAGCUGGAGUCUUUCCUGCUGCUGCUGCGCUGCACGACACCCGGCCAGCCCCCUGCCAGCGCCUCGGGGGAAGGGCAGCCUGCGGGGGGUGGGGGGCAGCGAUUGCUUGGCAGGGGGCAAUUCCCUCCCCGCGGCAGCGCCUGCUCCCGGCCCGGGGGACGGAUUUCCCUCCUCCGCGCGGUGCCCGAGCACUUGCUACAUCGAGCUGGAUGCUUCGCUGACCUCGCCCCGCAGCGCGGCGGCCGCGGAGGCGCAGGGGCCUGCGCUGCUGCCCCGGGCACUCCUAGCCCUUUCCCAGCCAGAGCAGCGGAGGGAGACGGGGGCGAGCUGGCCGCGAAUGGCCGCAGGGGAAGGUGGCGCGGAGCACCUGUCAGGGGCUGAAAGCAGUAAUGGCCUGCUGAACAGUGACUCCCCAACAUGACAGAGGAAUGAUGAUGGACUUCAAAAUAUACCCUAUUCUUUCCUUGCCCAGGACCAUGGUAGCGAUGAUACUGCUAUGUCAUGGAGAUAAGGAAAGAAAAUACCUAUAAAGGAUUUUCAAGGUUGUCAGCCAUGCAUCAAUGAUCAGAAUAAAAGAAGGGGGAAAUCCUGGCCCCAUUGAAAUCA